GACGAACGCUGGCGGCGUGCCUAAUACAUGCAAGUCGAACGCUUUUUCUUUCACCGGAGCUUGCUCCACCGAAAGAAAAAGAGUGGCGAACGGGUGAGUAACACGUGGGUAACCUGCCCAUCAGAAGGGGAUAACACUUGGAAACAGGUGCUAAUACCGUAUAACACUAUUUUCCGCAUGGAAGAAAGUUGAAAGGCGCUUUUGCGUCACUGAUGGAUGGACCCGCGGUGCAUUAGCUAGUUGGUGAGGUAACGGCUCACCAAGGCAACGAUGCAUAGCCGACCUGAGAGGGUGAGCGGCCACACUGGGACUGAGACACGGCCCAGACUCCUACGGGAGGCAGCAGGAGGGAAUCUUCGGCAAUGGACGAAAGUCUGACCGAGCAACGCCGCGUGAGUGAAGAAGGUUUUCGGAUCGUAAAACUCUGUUGUUAGAGAAGAACAAGGAUGAGAGUAGAACGUUCAUCCCUUGACGGUAUCUAACCAGAAAGCCACGGCUAACUACGUGCCAGCAGCCGCGGUAA
This 523-nucleotide ribosomal RNA is filed under the name uncultured bacterium. Its description in RNAcentral is "partial 16S ribosomal RNA". It matches the Rfam family "Bacterial small subunit ribosomal RNA", at positions 28 to 523 of the family's 1533-position model. The record is from RNAcentral.